GGAAAGGUGGCCGAGCGGUUGAAGGCACUGGUCUUGAAAACCAGCAAGGAGAAAUCCUUCGUGGGUUCGAAUCCCACCCUUUCCGCCA
RNAcentral lists this transfer RNA (88 nucleotides) under Methanobacteriota archaeon. Its description in RNAcentral is "Euryarchaeota archaeon tRNA-Ser". It matches the Rfam family "tRNA". Rfam says of the family: Transfer RNA (tRNA) molecules are approximately 80 nucleotides in length. Their secondary structure includes four short double-helical elements and three loops (D, anti-codon, and T loops). Further hydrogen bonds mediate the characteristic L-shaped molecular structure. tRNAs have two regions of fundamental functional importance: the anti-codon, which is responsible for specific mRNA codon recognition, and the 3' end, to which the tRNAs corresponding amino acid is attached (by aminoacyl-tRNA synthetases). tRNAs cope with the degeneracy of the genetic code in two manners: having more than one tRNA (with a specific anti-codon) for a particular amino acid; and 'wobble' base-pairing, i.e. permitting non-standard base-pairing at the 3rd anti-codon position. The record is from RNAcentral. Lineage: Archaea; Methanobacteriati; Methanobacteriota.